RNAcentral lists this ribosomal RNA (491 nucleotides) under uncultured bacterium. RNAcentral describes it as "partial 16S ribosomal RNA". It matches the Rfam family "Bacterial small subunit ribosomal RNA", at positions 28 to 507 of the family's 1533-position model. The record is from RNAcentral.
GAUGAACGCUAGCUACAGGCUUAACACAUGCAAGUCGAGGGGAAACGAUGAGAGAGCUUGCUCUCUUAGUCGUCGACCGGCGCACGGGUGAGUAACGCGUAUCCAACCUGCCUCUGACCAAGGGAUAACCCGUCGAAGGUCGGACUAAUACCUUAUGCAGUCGUCGGAAGUCAUCUGAUGACGACGAAAGAUUUCAUCGGUGAGAGAUGGGGAUGCGUCUGAUUAGCUUGUUGGCGGGGUAACGGUCCACCAAGGCGACGAUCAGUAGGGGUUCUGAGAGGAAGGUCCCCCACAUUGGAACUGAGACACGGUCCAAACUCCUACGGGAGGCAGCAGUGAGGAAUAUUGGUCAAUGGGCGUAAGCCUGAACCAGCCAAGUAGCGUGCAGGAUGACGGCCCUAUGGGUUGUAAACUGCUUUUAUGCGGGGAUAAAGUGAGGGACGUGUCCUUCAUUGCAGGUACCGCAUGAAUAAGGACCGGCUAAUUCCGUG